RNAcentral lists this ribosomal RNA (400 nucleotides) under phytoplankton environmental sample. Its description in RNAcentral is "partial small subunit ribosomal RNA". It matches the Rfam family "Eukaryotic small subunit ribosomal RNA", at positions 587 to 989 of the family's 1831-position model. The record is from RNAcentral.
AGCUCCGCAAGUGUAUUCCUAUACUGCUGCGUUUAAAUAGCUCGUAGUUGGAUCUGCGUGCCUAGCGUACGGUGCAGUCUUUGGCUGUUACUGUCACGCGGCACAUUAUGAUGGUGCGCUGGCGAUGCUCUCUCAACGGGGUGUCGUUCAGUUGCCAUCGAGUUUACUUUGAAUAAAUCAGAGUGCUCAAAACGGGCGUUUCGCUCGUAUGUUCUUGCAUGGAAUAAUAGAAUAGGAUUGUGCGUCCUAUUUUGUUGGUUUUCGGGACCACGAUAAUGAUUGAGAGGGACAGACGGGGGCAUUUGUACUGCGACGUGAGAGGUGAAAUUCUUGGAUCGUCGCAAGACAAACUACUGCGAAAGCAUUUGCCAAGAAUGUUUUCAUUAAUCAAGAACGAAAG